GUAGGGAAUAUUGCACAAUGGGGGAAACCCUGAUGCAGCGACGCCGCGUGAGUGAUGAAGGCCUUCGGGUCGUAAAGCUCUGUCGUAUGGGAAUAACAGAAUGAAUGUACCAUGCAAGAAAGGAUCGGCUAACUUCGUGCCAGCAGCCGCGGUAAGACGAGGGAUCCUAGCGUUGUUCGGAAUCAUUGGGCGUAAAGCGGGUGUAGGCGGACUUGUAAGUCAGGUGUGAAAUCCCAGGGCUCAACCCUGGAAGUGCACUUGAUACUGCAAGCCUUGAGUGUGGUAGAGGCUAUUAGAAUUCCUGGUGUAGUGGUGAAAUACGUAGAUAUCAGGAGGAAUACCGGAGGCGAAGGCGGAUAGCUGGGCCAACACUGACGCUGAGACCCGAAAGCGUGGGGAUCAAACAGGAUUAGAAACCCCGGUAGUCC
This 428-nucleotide ribosomal RNA is filed under the name uncultured bacterium. RNAcentral's name for it is "bacterial SSU rRNA". It matches the Rfam family "Bacterial small subunit ribosomal RNA", at positions 354 to 796 of the family's 1533-position model. The record is from RNAcentral.